Molecule: ribosomal RNA, 230 nt
Filed under: uncultured bacterium
Lineage: Bacteria
Description: partial 16S ribosomal RNA
Rfam family: Bacterial small subunit ribosomal RNA
Source: RNAcentral
UGCGUAGGCGGCGGCGUAAGUCAGUUGUGAAAUUCCCCGGCUUAACCGGCGGAAGUGCGAUUGAUACUGUGUCGCUUGAAUCAGGUUGAGGUAGGCGGAAUGUGGCAUGUAGCGGUGAAAUGCAUAGAUAUGCCAUAGAACACCGAUUGCGAAGGCAGCUUGCUGGACCUGUAUUGACGCUGAGGCACGAAAGCGUGGGGAGCAAACAGGAUUAGAUACCCUGGUAGUCC